CAGGACUGUACAUUUUCAGACUUUUGGUGGUAAAUAAGACUGACCAAUGUGACUGUCUAUAAUGACUUUCCAAUUGGCCCUGAAGUUCUAGCAUGUGACUGCUUCACUCCUGGACUCUGACUUUCAGUGAGAGAUGGAAGUUUUUCAGAGAACUGAACUGUGGGAAAAUGACCUUUCCUUAACCUGAUGCUACUUUUAAAAUCUGAGGGUCUGGACCAAAAGGAAUAUCAGCUUUGGAGUCAAGACAAACAGACAUGGGGAGAGUAACAACUAACUCCAAAGAUGGCUUCACUGAAGAGAAAACGUUUUAAGAUUUAAAAAAAAAUCUUGUCAGAAGAUACUGGAAAAGUUCUAAUUUUCGUUAGCAGUUAAUAAGUUAGUUAUUCAUGCAGAACUGUAUACAACAGAACACUGCUCCUUUUAUUUUAUUUGUACUUUUGGCCUGGGAUAUGGGUUUUAAAUGGACAUUGUCUGUACCAGCUUCAUUAAAAUAAACAAUAUUUGUAAAAACCUUUUAAAAAGAUGUAUGUGUGGAAG
This 537-nucleotide long non-coding RNA is filed under the name Marmota monax (woodchuck). The record is from RNAcentral. Lineage: Eukaryota; Metazoa; Chordata; Mammalia; Rodentia; Sciuridae.